AGCGGCGAACGGGUGAGUAACACGUGGGCAACCUGCCCUGUAGACUGGGAUAACAUCGAGAAAUCGGUGCUAAUACCGGAUAAUCUUGAGGAUCUCAUGGUCCUCUUGUAAAAGAUGGCUCCGGCUAUCACUACGGGAUGGGCCCGCGGCGCAUUAGCUAGUUGGUGAGGUAACGGCUCACCAAGGCGACGAUGCGUAGCCGACCUGAGAGGGUGAUCGGCCACACUGGGACUGAGACACGGCCCAGACCCCUACGGGAGGCAGCAGUAGGGAAUCUUCCGCAAUGGACGAAAGUCUGACGGAGCAACGCCGCGUGAGUGAUGAAGGGUUUCGGCUCGUAAAGCUCUGUUGUUAGGGAAGAACAAGUACCGUUCAAAUAGGGCGGUACCUUGACGGUACCUAACCAGAAAGCCACGGCUAACUACGUGCCAGCAGCCGCGGUAAUACGUAGGUGGCAAGCGUUGUCCGGAAUUAUUGGGCGUAAAGCGCGCGCAGGCGGUCUUUUAAGUCUGAUGUGAAAGCCCCCGGCUCAACCGGGGAGGGUCAUUGGAAACUGGGGAACUUGAGUACAGAAGAGGAGAGUGGAAUUCCACGUGUAGCGGUGAAAUGCGUAGAUAUGUGGAGGAACACCAGUGGCGAAGGCGACUCUCUGGUCUGUAACUGACGCUGAGGCGCGAAGGCGUGGGGAGCAAACAGAAUUAGAUACCCUGGUAGUCCACGCCGUAAACGAUGAGUGCUAGGUGUUAGGGGUUUCGAUGCCCUUAGUGCCGAAGUUAACACAUUAAGCACUCCGCCUGGGGAGUACGACCGCAAGGUUGAAACUCAAAGGAAUUGACGGGGGCCCGCACAAGCAGUGGAGCAUGUGGUUUAAUUCGAAGCAACGCGAAGAACCUUACCAGGUCUUGACAUCCUUUGACCUCCCUAGAGAUAGGGAUUUCCCUUCGGGGACAAAGUGACAGGUGGUGCAUGGUUGUCGUCAGCUCGUGUCGUGAGAUGUUGGGUUAAGUCCCGCAACGAGCGCAACCCUUGAUCUUAGUUGCCAGCAUUUAGUUGGGCACUCUAAGGUGACUGCCGGUGACAAACCGGAGGAAGGUGGGGAUGACGUCAAAUCAUCAUGCCCCUUAUGACCUGGGCUACACACGUGCUACAAUGGAUGGUACAAAGGGCAGCGAAGCCGCGAGGUGGAGCCAAUCCCAUAAAGCCAUUCUCAGUUCGGAUUGUAGGCUGCAACUCGCCUACAUGAAGCCGGAAUUGCUAGUAAUCGCGGAUCAGCAUGCCGCGGUGAAUACGUUCCCGGGCCUUGUACACACCGCCCGU
RNAcentral lists this ribosomal RNA (1317 nucleotides) under Bacillus sp. PXY10. RNAcentral's name for it is "bacterial SSU rRNA". It matches the Rfam family "Bacterial small subunit ribosomal RNA", at positions 94 to 1397 of the family's 1533-position model. The record is from RNAcentral. Lineage: Bacteria; Bacillati; Bacillota; Bacilli; Caryophanales; Bacillaceae.